Molecule: ribosomal RNA, 274 nt
Filed under: uncultured bacterium
Lineage: Bacteria
Description: partial 16S ribosomal RNA
Rfam family: Bacterial small subunit ribosomal RNA
Source: RNAcentral
AUACGGAGGGUGCAAGCGUUAAUCGGAAUUACGGGGCGUAAAGCGUACGUAGGCGGUUAGUUAAGUUAGAUGUGAAAGCCCCGGGCUUAACCUGGGAACUGCAUUUAAAACUGGCUAACUAGAGUUAAGUAGAGGGGAGUGGAAUUUCAGGUGUAGCGGUGAAAUGCGUAGAGAUCUGAAGGAACACCAGUGGCGAAGGCGACUCCCUGGACUUGAACUGACGCUGAGGUACGAAAGCGUGGGUAGCAAACGGGAUUAGAAACCCUAGUAGUCC